AGUUGAUCAAAACCCUUCCCUGAGUUUGCGUUUGUAGUAAAAUUAAUGGAGGAAGAUCAGAAUAAGAACAAGGAAGUUGCCGCAAAUUGCAAUAGUGAUGAUGAUGAUGAGAAAUACGUCAAUUCGCUUCCAGUUGGGUAUCGAUUUGCACCUCAUGAUGAUGAGCUGAUUCUUCACUACUUACUGAAAAAGAUCAAGAAACCUCCCUUACCUCGUAACAGGAUUCAUGAGGUUGAUUUGUAUAAAUAUAGCCCUCGAAAGCUCACUGAAAUCUGUAAACUGAAUAGAGCAAGAGAAAGCGAGUGGUACUUUUUCACUUCGAGGGAGAAAAAAUACCCAAAUGGGUGUAGACCAAAUCGAAGUGCUGGAGAUGGAUUUUGGAAGCCUACAGGAACUGAUUAAGCCAUCCCAAAUGACAAAAAACCUGUUGGUUUUAGAAAAUCUUUGGAUUAUUAUUCAGGGAAGCAAGCUGAAGGAAGGAAAACGGACUGGAAGUAUUUCUUCAGCUACUACUUCCAGACCCAAAAGCCCAUUGCAACCUAUGCUGGCAUUUAUUGAAUUUCUUCUUUUUCUUUUUUUUGUUUUAAUUUCGUUGAUGA
This 599-nucleotide unclassified non-coding RNA is filed under the name Hevea brasiliensis (rubber tree). Lineage: Eukaryota; Viridiplantae; Streptophyta; Magnoliopsida; Malpighiales; Euphorbiaceae. The record is from RNAcentral.